RNAcentral lists this ribosomal RNA (425 nucleotides) under uncultured bacterium. RNAcentral describes it as "bacterial SSU rRNA". It matches the Rfam family "Bacterial small subunit ribosomal RNA", at positions 354 to 796 of the family's 1533-position model. The record is from RNAcentral.
GCGAGGAAUCUUGGGCAAUGGGCGAAAGCCUGACCCAGCAACGCCGCGUGGGGGAUGAAGGCCCUCGGGUCGUAAACCCCUUUUGUCGGGGAAGAUAGUGACGGUACCCGACGAAUAAGUCUCGGCUAACUACGUGCCAGCAGCCGCGGUAAUACGUAGGAGGCGAGCGUUGUCCGGAUUUAUUGGGCGUAAAGAGCGCGUAGGCGGCUGGCUAAGUCUGGUGUGAAAUCUCCCGGCCCAACUGGGAGGGGACACCGGAUACUGGUCGGCUUGAGUACGGCAGAGGGAGGUAGAAUUCCCGGUGUAGUGGUGAAAUGCGUAGAUAUCGGGAGGAAUACCAGUGGCGAAGGCGGCCUCCUGGGCCGUUACUGACGCUGAGGCGCGAAAGCGUGGGGAGCGAACCGGAUUAGAAACCCGUGUAGUCC